GAAGAAAGUUGAUUUGAGCAGAUGUUUCCCAACCAGCUGCUGAGUGGUCUAGCCCCUGGGCUGAAGGGUAUCUGAGGGCAGCGGGAUCUGGAAGGCUCUGGAGCCCUUCCAGCUGGCAGGCAAUAAUUCAGAGCUCACACAAAGAGCCAGGGUGAGUCACUAGUCUGCUGAUUAGGCUGCUCUCCUGGGAGGGAGGCACCUGGAUCCCAGACCCAGGAAAGCGAUUGCUCCAGGCUAGUUUUGGCAGAAGAGCUUGUUCCUCAAAAGAAGCAAGGGAUGGAACAAAUUCAGAAGCAGGACACAGUGAAAUUUUCUGGCUGAGUAGGCAACCAAGUCUGCAAGACUCAAGUCUCAAAACAUCACUCUAUCUUUCAAAGGGCAGAUCUUGCAGAAGAAUGGACAGAUGAUGGAGUUUUACCUCACUGCUGUUGGAGUUUUGAAGUUGAAGUCAAUGAAAGUGUGGCAGCGGCUGAAGGAAGAUGAGAGCUGUGGGGAACCGGGAAAGUUACCAUCUCUGUAAGUGGGACUUAAUGUGUUAGGGGUGAUGAAGCCUCUGAUAAUUUCUGUAUGCUUGGAAGCGAAGAAAAAAAAAAGACUAAAAGCUGCAGAGAAUAAAGACCUAAUUAUCUCUGUCUUCUAAGCCUCG
RNAcentral lists this long non-coding RNA (646 nucleotides) under Junco hyemalis (dark-eyed junco). RNAcentral describes it as "lncRNA (ENSJHYG00000000080.1)". The record is from RNAcentral. Lineage: Eukaryota; Metazoa; Chordata; Aves; Passeriformes; Passerellidae.